CCUCGGGUGGCAGCAGUGGGGAAUAUUGGACAAUGGGGGCAACCCUGCUCCAGCCAUGCCGCGUGUGUGAAGCAGGCCCUCGGGUUGUAAAGCACUUUCAGUGAGGAAGAACGCCUGGUGGUUAAUACCCAUCAGGAAAGACAUCACUCACAGAAGAAGCACCGGCUAACUCCGUGCCAGCAGCCGCGGUAAUACGGAGGGUGCGAGCGUUAAUCGGAAUUACUGGGCGUAAAGCGCGCGUAGGUGGCUUGAUAAGCCGGUUGUGAAAGCCCCGGGCUCAACCUGGGAACGGCAUCCGGAACUGUCAAGCUAGAGUGCAGGAGAGGAAGGUAGAAUUCCCGGUGUAGCGGUGAAAUGCGUAGAGAUCGGGAGGAAUACCAGUGGCGAAGGCGGCCUUCUGGACUGACACUGACACUGAGGUGCGAAAGCGUGGGUAGCAAACAGGAUUAGAUACCCGAGUAGUC
RNAcentral lists this ribosomal RNA (464 nucleotides) under Vreelandella stevensii. RNAcentral's name for it is "partial 16S ribosomal RNA". It matches the Rfam family "Bacterial small subunit ribosomal RNA", at positions 339 to 795 of the family's 1533-position model. Lineage: Bacteria; Pseudomonadati; Pseudomonadota; Gammaproteobacteria; Oceanospirillales; Halomonadaceae. The record is from RNAcentral.